Long non-coding RNA from Neopelma chrysocephalum (saffron-crested tyrant-manakin), 547 nucleotides. RefSeq lists it as uncharacterized. The record is from RefSeq and is a predicted model, not a curated record. The transcript has 3 exons. NCBI's taxonomy places the organism in Eukaryota, Metazoa, Chordata, Aves, Passeriformes, Pipridae.
GAGCAGGAAUCAGACCUACCACUCAAAGCACUCUCUUGUGGAUAUAAGCUGUGCUUCUGCUAGGAGGAUUUGCCAAAACAGAUAUACUGGCAAAGCAGCUAAGGUGAGAGGAAGCCAAGAAUUCCAAGUUGUCUGUGACAUACUGCCUUUGUCACUGGACACCCUGCCACUGAUGAGGACCAGCUCCUGCCUUUUGCUCACCACUACAAAUGCCAUUGCCUUGAGAAUUACUGACAUUGUCACUGAGGGGGCUAUAGUUGUAUUAUGGAGAAAUCCAGAACUCAGAGCCAAUUCAUCUGUUUUGCUCUCCCGGGAACAGUGAUGUUUAUUUUGAAAGGAAUCUUUCAGUGAUGUUUUCCAAUUAAAAAAAAAAAAACAAAACCAACCCUGAAACAAUUCUUAUCCUGCAGGGCUUAUUGUAUUACAUGUAAGACCACUUAAGCAGUAAAUUAAUCUUGAUAUUAAAGCUAGAAUCCUGGAUUUUUACAUGACUUCCCUGCUUUGCUACAACCCUCUGCUCAGUGCUGUACAUGAGUUUUGCCUUCUU